This 506-nucleotide ribosomal RNA is filed under the name uncultured bacterium. Its description in RNAcentral is "partial 16S ribosomal RNA". It matches the Rfam family "Bacterial small subunit ribosomal RNA", at positions 29 to 523 of the family's 1533-position model. The record is from RNAcentral.
AGUGAACGCUGGCGGUAGGCCUAACACAUGCAAGUCGAACGGCAGCACAGGAGAGCUUGCUCUCUGGGUGGCGAGUGGCGGACGGGUGAGGAAUACGUCGGAAUCUACUCUGUCGUGGGGGAUAACGUAGGGAAACUUACGCUAAUACCGCAUACGACCUACGGGUGAAAGCAGGGGACCUUCGGGCCUUGCGCGAUUGAAUGAGCCGAUGUCGGAGUGGCUAGUUGGCGGGGUAAAGGCCCACCAAGGCGACGAUCCGUAGGUGGUCUGGGGGGAUGAUCAGCCACACUGGAACUGAGACACGGUCCAGACUCCUACGGGAGGCAGCAGUGGGGAAUAUUGGACAAUGGGCGCAAGCCUGAUCCAGCCAUACCGCGUGGGUGAAGAAGGCCUUCGGGUUGUAAAGCCCUUUUGUUGGGAAAGAAAUCCAGCUGGCUAAUACCCGGUUGGGAUGACGGUACCCAAAGAAUAAGCACCGGCUAACUUCGUGCCAGCAGCCGCAGUAA